UAUCUCUGUAGAGUCUGCAUAUCAAUAAGCGGAGGAAAAGAAACUAACAAGGAUUCCCUUAGUAACGGCGAGUGAAGCGGGAAGAGCUCAAACUUGAAAUCUUCAAGGUUCUACCUUGACGAAUUGUAGUUUAUAAGAAGUGUUUUCUGUUAGUAGGAGUGGCAAAAGUUCUUUGGAAUAGGACAUCAUAGAGGGUGAGAAUCCCGUAUUUGGUCAUUCCUUUCUAGCUUUGUGAUACACUUUCAACGAGUCGGAUUGUUUGGGAAUGCAGUCCAAAAUGGGUGGUAAAUUUCAUCUAAAGCUAAAUAUUGGCGAGAGACCGAUAGCGAACAAGUACCGUGAGGGAAAGAUGAAAAGAACUUUGAAAAGAGAGUUAAACAGUACGUGAAAUUGUCAAAAGGGAAGCGUUUGACACCAGUGUUGUUUUUCCGAAAAUCAAUUACGAAUGUUUUGUUUUUAAGAAGUUAUGACUUCAUCGGCUUGCUUCUUUCUUUACGAAACUUUCUUAAUGCACUUUUCGGUUAACAAGUCAACAUCAAUUUCUUUUGUUGUAAAAGGGUAUGAGGAAGGUGGCUUUCUUUUCGGAGAAAGUGUUUAUAGCCUUGUGCCUCUGCAAUCGGAGAGAUUGAGGUCUGCAGCGUAGAUCCUUCGGGGUUAGAUACAUUUGUGCUAAGUUAUAGCUUUUCAUAGACAACUUGUUGACUAUGUUUAGUCCUGUAGCUUACUCGCUUAUGCUAUUUUACCUACGCUUAGGAUGUUGACGCAUGAGAUAUACGC
RNAcentral lists this ribosomal RNA (777 nucleotides) under uncultured Neocallimastigales. RNAcentral describes it as "partial large subunit ribosomal RNA". It matches the Rfam family "Eukaryotic large subunit ribosomal RNA", at positions 24 to 647 of the family's 3401-position model. The record is from RNAcentral. Lineage: Eukaryota; Fungi; Neocallimastigomycota; Neocallimastigomycetes; Neocallimastigales.